Molecule: long non-coding RNA, 427 nt
Filed under: Monodelphis domestica (gray short-tailed opossum)
Lineage: Eukaryota; Metazoa; Chordata; Mammalia; Didelphimorphia; Didelphidae
Description: lncRNA (ENSMODG00000044285.1)
Source: RNAcentral
UCAGAUGGAGGAGGGAGCUGGUGAAAGCAGCUGAGAUGCUGCUGGCCUGGUGUCAUUAGAAAUCCUUAUUUAGACAGAUCUUAUGGUUGAUUACACAAAAUAGGCAACUAAAUGGUAGAAUGGGUAGAAUUAUGGUAUAAUGGCCACAGAACUGAGGCAACCUAACUUCAAAUCCCACGUUGGACUUUUACUAGAGGAAUUACAUAUCUGGACUGAGAAAAGUUCACUUUUUGAGAUGCUGUAGAGCUUGGAGAUUUUUUUGCACAAACUGUAGAAGCACUUAGACAGCACCAGUAAAAUUUUUUUUAACUUUAUUUUUAUUGUCAUGCAAAACACACUUCCAUAAUGAUCAUUGUUGUAAGAGCAAACAAUUAUAUAACAAAAACCAACGAAUAAAACCAAAGAUACACUGAUGUGAAAAAAACUA